This 353-nucleotide ribosomal RNA is filed under the name Salpingogaster pygophora. RNAcentral's name for it is "SSU rRNA". It matches the Rfam family "Eukaryotic small subunit ribosomal RNA", at positions 625 to 912 of the family's 1831-position model. Lineage: Eukaryota; Metazoa; Arthropoda; Insecta; Diptera; Syrphidae. The record is from RNAcentral.
CGUUCGUAGUUGAACUUGUGCUUCAUACGGGUAGUACAACUACAAUUGUGGAUUGUACAUCACCUUAUGUAUGUAAGCGUAUUAUCGGUGGAGUUCUAAUAUAUAAUGGUACUCGUAUUGUUAUGUAUACCUCCUAUUUAAACCUGCUUCAGUGCUCUUCAUCGAGUGCUGUUGUGGGCCGAUACAGUUACUUUGAACAAAUUAGAGUGCUUAAAGCAGGCUCCAAAUGCCUGAAUAUUUUGUGCAUGGAAUAAUGAAAUAAGAUUUCUGAUCUACUUUCAUUGGUUUUUAGAUCAAGAGAUAAUGAUAAAUAGAAGCAGUUUGGGGGCAUUAGUAUUACGACGCCGAGAGGU